AAGUCGUAACAAGGUUUCCGUAGGUGAACCUGCGGAAGGAUCAUUACCACGUAAAAAAAAAAUCCAAACCUUUUUUUAAUCCAACCCGUCCCUUUGUGAAUUUGGAAAAUAUCAAAAACAAAAAGAUAGAGAGAGCAAUGUGUGUGUGUGAGGAGAGCAAGGUUUGGGCCUUUUUUGGCUCAUUCAUUCCUCCUCGCAUUCACCUCUCCCUCUCUGUCUUUUAUUUUGAAACCCCAUUGUCCGAUUUGAAACAGUUUUUGUUCAAAUAGACAUUGUUGAAAAACAAAAACAAAAAAAACCAUGAGACAACUUUUAACGGUGGAUCUCUUGGCUCGU
RNAcentral lists this unclassified non-coding RNA (336 nucleotides) under fungal sp. RNAcentral's name for it is "partial internal transcribed spacer region". The stretch from base 1 to 46 matches the Rfam family "Eukaryotic small subunit ribosomal RNA", at positions 1786 to 1831 of the family's 1831-position model. The record is from RNAcentral. Lineage: Eukaryota; Fungi.